UGUUCGUCCGUUCCACCAUACCCCUUCCCCACAGGUGGUUUCCCUCCCCCUAUGACAGGUGGCUACCCUCCUCCUAUGCCAGGUGUGGUGUCUCCAUGGCCUCCUAUGAUGGACCAGUCUAAACAGUGGGACUACUACCCUCCAGGACCGGGACCAGGACCAGGACCAGGACCCAGACGGGAGGACAAGAGGGAGAAGGAGAGAGAGAGACCCAGGGAGAGACCACAUGAGAGGGAGAGAGAGCGAGAGCACAGCCCCUCCACUAUGGGUUACAACAGGUUAGUCGAGGAUGACGAGGCCACAGCUGGUUAGUCGAGGACGACGAUGCAGGCGACAGCGGGUUAGUCGAGGACGAUGCAGGCGACAACGGGUUAGUCGAGGACGAUGCAGGCAACAGCGGGUUAGUCGAGGACGAUGCAGGCGACAACGGGUUAGUCGAGGACGAUGCAGGCGACAACGGGUUAGUCGAGGACGAUGCAGGCGACAACCGGUUAGUCGAGGACGAUGCAGGCGACAGCGGGUUAGUCGAGGACGAUGCAGGCGACAGCGGGUUAGUCGAGGACGAUGCAGGCGACAGCGGGUUAGUCGAGGACGUUGCAGGCGACAACGGGUUAGUCGAGGACGAUGCAGGCGACAGCGGGUUAGUCGAGGACGAUGCAGGCGACAGC
Long non-coding RNA from Oncorhynchus gorbuscha (pink salmon), 668 nucleotides. RefSeq lists it as uncharacterized. The record is from RefSeq and is a predicted model, not a curated record. Lineage: Eukaryota; Metazoa; Chordata; Actinopteri; Salmoniformes; Salmonidae. The transcript has 4 exons.